RNAcentral lists this ribosomal RNA (253 nucleotides) under uncultured bacterium. RNAcentral describes it as "partial 16S ribosomal RNA". It matches the Rfam family "Bacterial small subunit ribosomal RNA", at positions 524 to 776 of the family's 1533-position model. The record is from RNAcentral.
UACGGAGGGNGCAAGCGUUNAUCGGAAUUACUGGGCGUAAAGCGCGCGUAGGCGGUUUUUUAAGUCGGAUGUGAAAGCCCCGGGCUCAACCUGGGAACUGCGAUCGAUACUGNNAGACUAGAAUGCGGGAGAGGGAGGUNGAAUUCCNUGUGUAGCNGUGAAAUGCGUAGAUAUAUGGAGGAANACCAGUGGCGAAGGCGGCCUCCUGGNNCGACAUUGACGCUGAGGUGCGAAAGCNUGGGGAGCAAACGGG